Molecule: ribosomal RNA, 497 nt
Filed under: uncultured bacterium
Lineage: Bacteria
Description: partial 16S ribosomal RNA
Rfam family: Bacterial small subunit ribosomal RNA
Source: RNAcentral
GAUGAACGCUGGCGGCGUGCCUAAUACAUGCAAGUCGAGCGAACAGACGAGGAGCUUGCCCCUCUGACGUUAGCGGCGGACGGGUGAGUAACACGUGGAUAACCUACCUAUAAGACUGGGAUAACUUCGGGAAACCGGAGCUAAUACCGGAUAAUAUAUUGAACCGCAUGGUUCAAUAGUGAAAGACGGUUUUGCUGUCACUUAUAGAUGGAUCCGCGCCGCAUUAGCUAGUUGGUAAGGUAACGGCUUACCAAGGCGACGAUGCGUAGCCGACCUGAGAGGGUGAUCGGCCACACUGGAACUGAGACACGGUCCCGACUCCUACGGGAGGCAGCAGUAGGGAAUCUUCCGCAAUGGGCGAAAGCCUGACGGAGCAACGCCGCGUGAGUGAUGAAGGUCUUCGGAUCUUAAAACUCUGUUAUUAGGGAAGAACAAAUGUGUAAGUAACUAUGCACGUCUUGACGGUACCUAAUCAGAAAGCCACGGCUAACUACGUG